CAGCAGCCACGGUAAGACGAACCGUGCGAACGUUAUUCGGAAUCACUGGGCUUAAAGCGCGUGUAGGCGGGCCGGCACGUCGGUCGCUGAAAUCCCCCGGCUCAACCGGGGAAGGGGCGCCGAUACGACCGGCCUGGAGGGGGGUAGGGGGCGCUGGAACUCACGGUGGAGCGGUGAAAUGCGUUGAGAUCGUGAGGAACGCCCGCGGCGAAAGCGAGCGCCUGGACCCUUUCUGACGCUGAGACGCGAAAGCCAGGGGAGCGAACGGGAUUAGAUACCCCAGUAGUCCCUGUCUCUUAUU
RNAcentral lists this ribosomal RNA (301 nucleotides) under uncultured bacterium. Its description in RNAcentral is "partial 16S ribosomal RNA". It matches the Rfam family "Bacterial small subunit ribosomal RNA", at positions 509 to 807 of the family's 1533-position model. The record is from RNAcentral.